Molecule: ribosomal RNA, 400 nt
Filed under: uncultured bacterium
Lineage: Bacteria
Description: bacterial SSU rRNA
Rfam family: Bacterial small subunit ribosomal RNA
Source: RNAcentral
UAAGGAAUAUUGCACAAUGGGGGAAACCCUGAUGCAGCAACGCCGCGUGGGCGACGAAGGUCUUCGGAUCGUAAAGCCCUUUUCUGAGGGAAGAGAGAGGACGGUACCUCAGGAAUAAGUCUCGGCUAACUACGUGCCAGCAGCCGCGGUAAAACGUAGGAGGCGAGCGUUAUCCGGAUUUACUGGGCGUAAAGCGCGUGCAGGCGGUCAGUUAAGUUAGGCGUGAAAUCUUUCGGCUUAACCGGGAGGGACGCAUAAUACUGGCUGACUUGAGGGUAGGAGAGGGAAGCGGAAUUCCCGGUGUAGCGGUAAUAUGCGCAGAUAUCGGGAGGAACACCGAGUGGCGAAGGCGGCUUCCUGGCCUGCUCCUGACGCUAAGACGCGAAAGCUAGGGGAGCGA